AGGCAGUGGCAGACGGGUGAGUAAUGCAUGGGAAUCUACCGUUCUCUACGGAAUAACUCAGGGAAACUUGUGCUAAUACCGUAUACGCCCUUUUGGGGAAAGAUUUAUCGGAGAAUGAUGAGCCCAUGUUGGAUUAGCUAGUUGGUAGGGUAAAGGCCUACCAAGGCGACGAUCCAUAGCUGGUCUGAGAGGAUGAUCAGCCACACUGGGACUGAGACACGGCCCAGACUCCUACGGGAGGCAGCAGUGGGGAAUAUUGGACAAUGGGCGCAAGCCUGAUCCAGCCAUGCCGCGUGAGUGAUGAAGGCCCUAGGGUUGUAAAGCUCUUUCACCGGUGAAGAUAAUGACGGUAACCGGAGAAGAAGCCCCGGCUAACUUCGUGCCAGCAGCCGCGGUAAUACGAAGGGGGCUAGCGUUGUUCGGAUUUACUGGGCGUAAAGCGCACGUAGGCGGACUUUUAAGUCAGGGGUGAAAUCCCGGGGCUCAACCCCGGAACUGCCUUUGAUACUGGAAGUCUUGAGUAUGGAAGAGGUAAGUGGAAUUGCGAGUGUAGAGGUGAAAUUCGUAGAUAUUCGCAGGAACACCAGUGGCGAAGGCGGCUUACUGGUCCAUUACUGACG
This 620-nucleotide ribosomal RNA is filed under the name Pseudochrobactrum asaccharolyticum. RNAcentral's name for it is "bacterial SSU rRNA". It matches the Rfam family "Bacterial small subunit ribosomal RNA", at positions 90 to 745 of the family's 1533-position model. Lineage: Bacteria; Pseudomonadati; Pseudomonadota; Alphaproteobacteria; Hyphomicrobiales; Brucellaceae. RNAcentral also lists the same sequence under 1 other name. The record is from RNAcentral.